AACGCAUAUUGCGCCCCUUGGUAUUCCGGGGGGCACACCUGUUCGAGCGCCAUUUCAACCCUCAAGCAUAGCUUGGUGUUGGGUGAGGUCCUAGAAGGGACCCUCCCAUAACCCGUAGGCGGUCAUCAUCCGUACUCCCCUAGCGUAGCAGGCUCAUGGCACUCGCUAAAGGAUGGGGUGAGACCAUGCCUUUACACAAACCAUUUCAAAAGGUUUGGCCUCGGAUCAGGUGGGGAUACCCGCUGAACUUAA
This 252-nucleotide unclassified non-coding RNA is filed under the name uncultured Dothideomycetes. RNAcentral describes it as "sequence contains 5.8S rRNA gene, ITS2, 28S rRNA gene". The record is from RNAcentral. Lineage: Eukaryota; Fungi; Ascomycota; Dothideomycetes.